This is a long non-coding RNA of Solanum dulcamara, 3086 nucleotides long. RefSeq lists it as uncharacterized. The transcript has 2 exons. NCBI's taxonomy places the organism in Eukaryota, Viridiplantae, Streptophyta, Magnoliopsida, Solanales, Solanaceae. The record is from RefSeq and is a predicted model, not a curated record.
AUUUCCUUAUUUUUAAAAUUUUAGUCAACAAAAUGGUCAAAUUUCUAUUCAUUUGAUUCCCCUUUCAAAGUCUUAUUUUCUUUGAAUUAUGGCCCAAUCUUGUUUUAAGAAAAAUAAAUAUUAUUUCUUUUAUAUGUUACUUUGAUUAAUUAUUAUAAUUAAUAGACUAACUCGUUUACCUUUUGAGAUUUCCUUUUCUUUUCUCAGAUAGAGAGACUGAUUUGUGUUGGUUUGCUCACUUUACAUAAGACUAGAGAAAAACCGUUUCAAGUAUUCGCUAGCAAAACAUUCAUAUUUUACACGGUCUAAAGUGAAUAAAGUUGCUACGGACUCAUCACUCCUUACUUGGACUACUAAGAGGACUCGUUCAAAAAUGGACUCCAGUUUGAUCAACGCAGUGGUUUCAUCUGAACCAAUUCCCCCUUCAUAUGUCAUGGUCAAUCCUAGUUCCUCUACUGAAAUAGAAUCAUACUUGGAAGUCAUUGCUUGUUUAGAGAAAUAGAUUGAUGAAAUGAGUCUCAUGGUAACCCAAUAUCAAGAUGCUUUUCAAAACCUACCCCCCUGCUGCUCGCCAGAUUGGAUCCGUGCCAUAUUCGUUUCAAACUUCAAGUGAGUUUGAGCAGAGAGACCAUUUCACUACUUCUGGUCAAACUCAAAUUGCUUUGUUCGUUCGUCCAACUCAGGAUGGUCCCCUUCUGUACACAUUUGCUCCUCCAAAAUCUCCAAUGGUGUCACUGCCACAUCAUGCUCCGACAACGUACACUUAUGUUACUACUCCACCUUUUACCAAGAUUCAGGGAUUACACCGUCAGGAUGUUGAUCGCUACAUUGAUAUUUAAAAUAAUUCAAAAUUAGUUGAUGUUGAAAUGAUGAAUGAGAAGAUAAAAAGCAUAGAAGAUGCUAUGAGAGGUCUUCGUGGGUUUGAUAGUAACCACAAAGUGAAAUAUGAAUAGUUGUGCACAUUCCUUGAGGUUGAUCUGCCACCCGGCUACAAGAUUUCAAAGUUUGAAAAGUUCAGCGGAUCAGAAAAUCCUUUCUUCCAUUUGAAAAUUUACUGCGAAAUAUUGAUUGGUGUUGGAAACAAUGAAGGAAUAAGAAUCAAAUUAUUCUAUCAAAGUUUGACCGGAAAAGCUUUGGAAUAGUACUCCAAGAAGGAUGUGACUAAGUAGCGUACUUGGGAUGAUUUAGCAAAUGCUUUUGUGGAUCACUACAAAUUUCAUGUUGAGAUCGCUCCUAACAAAAUCUCUACUAAAAAGCUAAAACCAAAGUCAACGGAAUGUUUCUGAGAAUAUACAAUACGUUGGAAGGAAGAAGCGUCUAGGGUGCACCCACCUAUGGAGGAAUCGGAGAUGAUCACCUACUUCCUUCAAGCCCAAGACUCAGAAUACUACGAACGAAUGGUGACAAUGGGUGGAAAGACAUUUGCUGAAGUUAUCAAAAUUUGAUAAAUGAUUGAAGAUGGUCUCAAGAUUGGGAGGAUAACGAGUCUGACCACAUCUCAAUUCACUAACAGAGCCUUCCAAACUAGUCCUUUUGGAGGUGGAAAGAGAAAAGAGAAAGAAGUUAUGAUGACAACGACUCAGGGAUCUACCUCAUAUAACCGUCAACCACCUCUAGGUUAUACUGCUUCACAAUAUCAUGUCUACAAUACACAAGCAACUUAUCAUGCUCCAUGAUCGAUGCAAAAUUUUUGCAACAAUGUACCUCGUCUAAACUUCAAGAAGAAACCCUCCUCGAGUCUUCACUCCGUUGGCAGAAUCACGAACUCACCUUUUUGAGCGGUUGAAAGAGGCAGGAAUACUCCAUCCAAUAGAAGCUAAGAAUGUGAAUACUUUAGGUGAUUGGUAGGACCCAAGUAAACGUUGUGCCUAUCACUCAGGAGUCAUUGGAUAUGAUACCGAGAAGUGUAUGACACGCAAGCGCAAAUUGUACGACUUGAUUGACAAUAAGGUGGUUAAAAUUGCAGAAGCUCCACCAAAUGUGAACAAUAACCUGUUGCCCAAGCAUAAUGAGUAGUCGUUGGUAUAACCAGUCAUAAAGAAGAAUGAAAUUUUCUAGGAGUUGCAAUUUUGGCAUCUUCAAAUUAUGCAAUUAGAGUUUGUUGCUUUCUUUCCCUGUAAUCUCAAUUUAUUGCUUUGUUUCGUUUGUAAUCGCACUUCUUUGUUUGUAUUUGAGUUAUGUUUGACAUGAAUUCUCAAGAAUAAGAUAUGUAGGCGGUCUAUGUCUACCUCGAUCAUAUCCAUAUCAAAAUUUCCUAUUUCUUUUUAUCUCCCGAUGGGAACUACAUUUGACCUGAUUCCUACCUCAACGGGAUACGUAGGUGCCACACCGGCUCAGUCAUAUUCCCCAUAAGAUUUUCAUUUCCCUUUAUAAUGAAAACUGGGCAGAAUUUUGAGAGGAUCUCCAACAUUCUUGAAAAUAUGGAUUUCUCCAACAUGUCAGAAUCAGAGAUCUCAUUGAAAUUGCAACUGGGGAAGAAUUUUUGAGAUUCUCUUAAAAAUUCAAUCAGAAACUAUGAGAAAGUUCAAGAGUUUUCAUAUAUCUAAACUGGGUAGAAUAUUUUAGGAGGGUCCUCAAAAAUUCUAUCAAGCCUACACUUUGAGACCAGACAAGCUUGCAAGACAGACGCUAGAGUAGCAUCAAGAUGGCAAGGCAAAGCCAAUAUAAAUCAAUCUCUCAAAAAAUAAGAAUUUUUCUUUGGAUGCAGGAACUAUAAAGUCAUAAGGGAUCGUUAGACCCACAGUGGCCUCAUCAUAAUUCAGGUAAAAUAGUCCAGCACAAUAGCUAAAAUGAUGAUAUGCCAUCCAAACUGAUAUAAGCUGAAUGACUUCAUUUUUAAAACUUAUCUUCUGUUAUACCAUUUAUUCUUAUAAUUUUAUUACUCCUUACAUUUGAACUUCACAGGUGUCAUUGUUAUAAUUGGAGACAAAAUUUCAAAGAUCCUCCCAAAAUUUUAAGAAUUAAGCCAGACGUUCUUCUAGAAUCUUACGUUCUUCUCGGCUACCAGAUCAUCAUGACAAUAUUUAAAUGUUUUGACAUAUGUUAAACUCUUUAUUUUCAAAAAUAACAAAUUCUCUGUGAGCGAA